This 851-nucleotide ribosomal RNA is filed under the name Weissella confusa. Its description in RNAcentral is "bacterial SSU rRNA". It matches the Rfam family "Bacterial small subunit ribosomal RNA", at positions 44 to 849 of the family's 1533-position model. Lineage: Bacteria; Bacillati; Bacillota; Bacilli; Lactobacillales; Lactobacillaceae. The record is from RNAcentral.
GCGGCCUAUACAUGCAGUCGAACGCUUUGUGGUUCAACUGAUUUGAAGAGCUUGCUCAGAUAUGACGAUGGACAUUGCAAAGAGUGGCGAACGGGUGAGUAACACGUGGGAAACCUACCUCUUAGCAGGGGAUAACAUUUGGAAACAGAUGCUAAUACCGUAUAACAAUGACAACCGCAUGGUUGUUAUUUAAAAGAUGGUUCUGCUAUCACUAAGAGAUGGUCCCGCGGUGCAUUAGCUAGUUGGUAAGGUAAUGGCUUACCAAGGCGAUGAUGCAUAGCCGAGUUGAGAGACUGAUCGGCCACAAUGGGACUGAGACACGGCCCAUACUCCUACGGGAGGCAGCAGUAGGGAAUCUUCCACAAUGGGCGAAAGCCUGAUGGAGCAACGCCGCGUGUGUGAUGAAGGGUUUCGGCUCGUAAAACACUGUUGUAAGAGAAGAAUGACAUUGAGAGUAACUGUUCAAUGUGUGACGGUAUCUUACCAGAAAGGAACGGCUAAAUACGUGCCAGCAGCCGCGGUAAUACGUAUGUUCCAAGCGUUAUCCGGAUUUAUUGGGCGUAAAGCGAGCGCAGACGGUUAUUUAAGUCUGAAGUGAAAGCCCUCAGCUCAACUAGGAAUUGCUUUGGAAACUGGAUGACUUGAGUGCAGUAGAGGAAAGUGGAACUCCAUGUGUAGCGGUGAAAUGCGUAGAUAUAUGGAAGAACACCAGUGGCGAAGGCGGCUUUCUGGGACUGUAACUGACGUUGAGGCUCGAAAGUGUGGGUAGCAAACAGGAUUAGAUACCCUGGUAGUCCACACCGUAAACGAUGAGUGCUAGGUGUUUGAGGGUUUCCGCCCUUAAUUGCCGC